AUUCAGAUAGGAAAGGGAACAAUAAGUUAAUGGUAGGUGCAAGUACAUGGAAACAAACCAUUUUGUGCAACAAACCUGCAGCCAGCCCAGAGCACAUCAUGCGACUCUCUGCUUCAACUGAGGUCUUGAUAGAGAUGAUUGCUGGAGAGCUCCUUUUCCAUCAGCCUUGUUGAGAUCUAUUAGAGAAACACUAGGAGAUAAUACAAGAGGAGACUCAGGAGGAACAAGAAAGAAGCAGUUUUGGACUGUUAUAUGAAAGAAAGGUCUGUGCACCUGAUGAUUUUCUGCUACAAGUUAUUUAUUCAUCUACCUUGGAAGGAAUUUAAAGAGACGUUGUAGGCAUUCCCAAGGCAAUUCUUGGGAUCCAGGAUUCAUUAGGACUCACAGGAUUCAGGAAAGAUUUUAUACUCAUGGUUGCAGUUCAUUGUGAGAGGAUACAGAUUAACAUCAGUAACUGAAAAAGGGUGUUCAGGGUAAAGUCCAGGAGAAACCAGGUGCCCCUCUCAGUGGUCCAGAUGUUCCCACUCAGUAGAGUUGCAUGCAAUUAUAUUUGAUUCCCCCAGAAAGGUGAGACACCAAGUGUAAAGUAUUGCCAACCAGGUAAGCUGACCUGAUCUUUGGUUGUCAGAACUUUUACUGGAGGUCAGUGAGUGGCAGACUUUAUUCAAUCCCCAGCUCCACAGAGGUCAAAUGGUUAAAGAAUAGCCUCAGGCCUCAGACCCAUAAAAACACUCUUAGUAGGUAAGAUUUCUAAAGGUUCAGAGGUUAUUUCUUAGGAGCUGGUCAAAAGUCAUUUUUUUUUUUUAAUUAAAGCAUUGUUCCACGUCUGAGCAAUGGGACUGCUGAAUUAACCCUUUGCUGCAGAGAGCAGCAGGUGUGGCUUGACUACAGAUCCCUUCAGCCCUCUGGAGGCCAGAGACCCAGCUCUGAAUGGCCUGUUGGUGAGGAUCAAUGCAGGAUCUG
This is a non-coding RNA of Ictidomys tridecemlineatus (thirteen-lined ground squirrel), 963 nucleotides long. The record is from RefSeq and is a predicted model, not a curated record. NCBI's taxonomy places the organism in Eukaryota, Metazoa, Chordata, Mammalia, Rodentia, Sciuridae.